AGCAUUCACUGCACCUUUUUAGAGGAAGAUAAAUGCUAUGAUCUCAUCACACAUACUUUUGUACAAGAUAAUGGAGACGUAUUGCCUCCUAUUGCAAAGUACGUGCUUUGUAACUAUGGUGCUGACAGUGCAAUGUAUAGAUGUCUAACCCAGUAUGAUCGUGCUCAAUUGCACUAGGAAAGCCAACCAAUUAGGUAACAACUGCUGUACUGCAGAGAAUACAAGUGUCAAUCUUAUGUUCAUUUGGUUUUCUAAAUGUUGCACUAGGUAGUUCUGUUGUGCAACACUUAGAAAAAUGUUAGUAAAUAUUGGUGAGAUCUUAAAAUGAAGAUGUUUGUGACCAUGUGUUUCUGUAGUCUACCAAGAUGUGGUGUAACAGACGGAUGUUGUGAGGACCUGGCCUCUGUCCUUCACUCCAGUCACAACACUCCAGUCCUGAAGAAUUAGAUCUGAGCUUCAAUGACGUGGGUGAUUCAGGGGUCAAACUUCUGUCUGCAGCUCUGAGGGAUCCAAACUGUAAAUUACAAACACUGGAUGCUAAAAUGUGGGUUAACAGAGAUGUUGUGAAGAUCUGGCUUCUGCUCUUCAGAUGCAAUAUUCCAGUAGGAGAGACCUGGAUCUGAGUGACAACACACUGGGUGAUGCAGGAGUGAAAGUGGUGUCUGCUGCUCUGAGGGAUCCUAAGUGUAAAUUAGAAAAACUGAGCCUGGAAUAAACCUUGUUCCUAGUAUAGGUCACUACCUGGCUUGGUUGUUACUUUAGGAGCUUUGGUUUUCACACUGUUGUAUGUAAAAUCAAUCUUAUGUCAUGACAAUCGUGAUGUCAUGACAGCUGUGGCCUGGACUCAUUGCACAUAGCGUUGUAGAGAGGAUGAACAAAGGCAGCUUGCACUUGAGGGGACCCCACUACAUUCAUUCUGUCUCAAGGACGAAGGCUAGAGUCUACUGCAAAACCUGCCCGUAGAUCCUCCUGCAGGGGGAGGGUGGAAAAAAUUGAAAAAAUGUGCUGGAACUGAAGCGUCAGGAGAGGCUGGGGGUAUCAAAGGUCCCAGCCCCCAGAGAAGAAGAAGAGCUGUAAGUCCAUGGCAGAGCAGUGGCUGUUGGCAGUUGGUCCCAAAGAAGUGCAGUAGAAACUCUUGUAUGGGACAAGCUCAGACCAUCUCAAGAAUUCCUAGAGGAAAAGAAAGCCACAUGAAAAAGUAUCCAGAAGCCCAGCUGAAGACGUCUACAUGACUGAGACCCAGCAGAGACUCAGAGACUGGGACAAGCUGAAGGAGAAUGAGGCCCUACAGGCUGAUAAUCAGCAGAGGAAGAGCCUGCAGUCCAAGGUAGUUGCCCUGGGUAGUUGUCACUCAGCUGCAGUUUAGCUUGGCAGAAAGUGAAUACGUGCUGCGGACACAUCUAAAAGAAAUGACUGAGAAGCUCAGGAAGUCUCAGAACAGCAAUAGUGGGCUCCUGGAACAGGCCAGACAAACACAGCUCUGCAGGGUGUCCCUGCUAGUCAUGGAGUGCAGGGACAGACCUGAAGGACAGCUGGGCUCGUGUGGGGAAUCUAGCUCAGUAAGACAGGCGCUGAGAAGAGACAGCUGGAAGAGAUCCUCUCCACAGAGGCCCUGCUGGAGGCCAGCCAGCAGAAGGAGAAGGAAAAUUGGGGAGAUUUACCAAAUGAAAGAAUAAAAUGAACAACUAAAUUGCUACGUUAUGGAAAGUUCCUUGCAAAAUAUUGCAUUAAAGCAGGGGUAUCCAUAAAAAAAAACUGCAAAAAGAAAGAGUUCUGCUCAGUCCACAUAUGAUGUUGCAGAUGGGUACAAGAGAGGCUUAGGUUUACUUUAUCUCUGGGAGAAAUUUGGCUAUAAGCAGACUCUCUUAAAAGUUGGAAUUGAAUAACAGUAAUUUGGGUGAUUCAGGUGUGAAACUGCUCUGUAAAGCUCUGAAGGAUCCCAACUGUAUAUUGGAAGAACUGGGGUAAGAUAACAUUGAGUAAUUUCUGUGAAAGUCAAUGUUUAGUAUUAGCAUAUGGCUGUCCUGGCUGUCUGGAAAGAUGAAGUUAAUCAGAUCAUUUGGCAUAACUGUUGCUUUUAGGAACUGAAUC
Molecule: non-coding RNA, 2091 nt
Organism: Lepisosteus oculatus (spotted gar)
Lineage: Eukaryota; Metazoa; Chordata; Actinopteri; Semionotiformes; Lepisosteidae
Source: RefSeq, a predicted model, not a curated record